AAUGAACGCUGGCGGCGUGCCUAACACAUGCAAGUCGGAUGUGCCCGCAAGGGUGCAUGGCAGACGGGUGAGUAACGCGUGGGGAACCUACCUCUUUGUGGGGAAUAACGUUCCGAAAGGAAUGGUAAUACCGCAUGAGACCUUCGGCUGGGAGUGCUGGAGGUGAAACCUGGGGACCGGUAAGGCCUGGGGCAAGGAGAGGGUCCUGCGUCUGAUUAGCUAGUUGGCGGGGUAAUGGCCCACCAAGGCGACGAUCAGUAGCCGGCCUGAGAGGGUGAUCGGCCACACUGGAACUGAGACACGGUCCAGACUCCUACGGGAGGCAGCAGUGGGGAAUUUUGCGCAAUGGACGAAAGUCUGACGCAGCAACGCCGCGUGGGUGAUGAAGGUCUUCGGAUUGUAAAACCCUGUCGUCAGGGACGAAGGUUGGGGCUUUAAUAGAGUUUCAACUUGACGGUACCUGGAGAGGAAGCCCCGGCUAACUCUGUG
Molecule: ribosomal RNA, 489 nt
Filed under: uncultured bacterium
Lineage: Bacteria
Description: bacterial SSU rRNA
Rfam family: Bacterial small subunit ribosomal RNA
Source: RNAcentral